Molecule: transfer RNA, 72 nt
Filed under: Planctomycetaceae bacterium
Lineage: Bacteria; Pseudomonadati; Planctomycetota; Planctomycetia; Planctomycetales; Planctomycetaceae
Description: tRNA-Cys
Rfam family: tRNA
About the family: Transfer RNA (tRNA) molecules are approximately 80 nucleotides in length. Their secondary structure includes four short double-helical elements and three loops (D, anti-codon, and T loops).
Source: RNAcentral
GACGCUGGAGCCAGACGGCUAGGCAGCUGCCUGCAAAGCAGCUCGAAGUGGGUUCGACUCCCACCGGCGUUU